This 326-nucleotide ribosomal RNA is filed under the name Salmonella enterica subsp. enterica serovar Montevideo. RNAcentral's name for it is "bacterial LSU rRNA". It matches the Rfam family "Bacterial large subunit ribosomal RNA", at positions 248 to 612 of the family's 2925-position model. The record is from RNAcentral. Lineage: Bacteria; Pseudomonadati; Pseudomonadota; Gammaproteobacteria; Enterobacterales; Enterobacteriaceae.
GGCGAGCGAACGGGGAGGAGCCCAGAGCCUGAAUCAGCAUGUGUGUUAGUGGAAGCGUCUGGAAAGGCGCGCGAUACAGGGUGACAGCCCCGUACACAAAAGCGCACAUGCUGUGAGCUCGAUGAGUAGGGCGGGACACGUGGUAUCCUGUCUGAAUAUGGGGGGACCAUCCUCCAAGGCUAAAUACUCCUGACUGACCGAUAGUGAACCAGUACCGUGAGGGAAAGGCGAAAAGAACCCCGGCGAGGGGAGUGAAAAAGAACCUGAAACCGUGUACGUACAAGCAGUGGGAGCACCCUUUGGGGUGUGACUGCGUACCUUUUGUA